ACUGGAAAGAGUAGAAAGGAUUGGAAACAGCAAAUUUGUCAAUGUUUUUCCUCUCUGCCGCGUCGCUGCUGCUUUAGAUUAGCCCUGUCCCCUGCAAUUUGACAGUAGCGCCGUGAACCUGCAGCGUGAGGAUCCCGGGCUAAGAUAGGGAGAAAGGAGGAGGAAUUCAGGGAAUGUUUUCCCUUGGAGCAAGCGGGGAAGCGCAGCCGCUGGGACCCGGGCUGCGGUGACAGCGCUAACACUUCCCAGAGCCGGGGACCCCGCCGCUGGAAUGGCAUUGCCCACCCUGAAAGUGAGAAGCUCAAAGGGACAGAGGAAGAAAUCUGGUGGAGCAGACUGCUGAAAAAUUACUGUGCUAAAAAAAUCCCUAAAAAUCAGGAUUUUCCCUUAUGGACUGAAAGAAGCCCUAUUAAAAUCCUAUCUUCUGGAAAGCGUCAGAGAGGCAGGAGGCUUGAAGUGUCCAAGAUCAAAGAGAGGAAAAGCAUUUGCUGCUGGGAAGUGAGGCACACAUCUUUCCUCCCUUGCAAUAAGCUCAUUAAUCUGGCAUGGCAGUGGCUGAUCUGGGGACAUCACACCUUCAAAUGCACUUCAAAUAUCUGGAAGGCCUGUGGUGCUACUGGACGAGGAGCUGAUCCUACGUGGACCUAUGUGAGGACAGCUAAGAGGAUUGGGAUCUUCCCAGUAAUUCCUGCAAAUAAUAAAAUAUCCCACAAAAAUGCUGGAAAAUAUGAAAAGGUCAAUGAAGCAGGGGAAAAGAGCGAUCCAAUGCUUUUUGUGUUGUGUUUUUUUUUCCUUCCCUUUAGGAACAAUGCAUUAUCUGAAAAUCCCACUUUAUAGCUUGGAAUUUGUUUUUGUGUUGGUGACUUUCAGUCACUGAAUAAAGUGCGACCACAGAAAUCGGACA
Molecule: long non-coding RNA, 904 nt
Filed under: Cyanistes caeruleus (blue tit)
Lineage: Eukaryota; Metazoa; Chordata; Aves; Passeriformes; Paridae
Description: lncRNA (ENSCCEG00000007368.1)
Source: RNAcentral